UACGGAGGGUGCAAGCGUUGUUCGGAUUUACUGGGCUUAAAGGGUGCGUAGGUGGGUUGGUAAGUCAGCGGUGAAAUACUUUCGCUUAACGAAGGAACUGCCAUUGAUACUAUCAAUCUUGAAUACAGUGGAGGUAGGCGGAAUGCGUCAUGUAGCGGUGAAAUGCUUAGAUAUGACGCAGAACACCAAUUGCGAAGGCAGCUUGCUACACUGUUAUUGACACUGAGGCACGAAAGCGUGGGUAGCAAACAGG
RNAcentral lists this ribosomal RNA (253 nucleotides) under uncultured bacterium. Its description in RNAcentral is "partial 16S ribosomal RNA". It matches the Rfam family "Bacterial small subunit ribosomal RNA", at positions 524 to 776 of the family's 1533-position model. The record is from RNAcentral.